GAGGGGAAUGGGGAAUCGGCAGGAAAUGACCCGAACUGCCAGCCUGCGCCUUUGCAGCCGGCCCUCGCUUUGCUGAAGACGAGCAGCUCCCACCAAAGUCUUGCCUCCCCUUACCCCGAAAGCCCCGCUCAGGUUUGUAAAGAGGGGUGCGAGAUCUGAAAAGUAUUUGUCUUCUAGGGAGAGAGAUGUUGGUAAGGGGCCCAGAGAAAGACGGGUCCUUUUUAGCUCAUCAACGCGCCACGUCUUGCUUUGCAGCUCCAAAAUGAUGCCAGCGCUGCUGUCCGAAGGGUCAAUAUUAAUGCGUUAAGUGAAAUGGGAAAUAAAUGGACAGUGGCACAUUUCGUGGCAUCAUUUUUACAAGGGGAUGUCGAAAGUUUUAAGCUGCAUUUAAGAAUUAGCCACAUCUUGCCUGAAAGUUAAUAUUUUUUGAUAAACUCGUUAAUAAAGCCUAGAAGAGUUCAAUAUUUCAAGUGAAAAUCUGCCUGUUCGAAAAGAAAAUAUUCACAAAUGAGCAGUGUAUUAGAAGACAACUGAAUUGCUUCUAAGAAUGGGUCUCACUCUGCCAUCACCCAGGCUGGAGUGUGGUGGCACCAUCAUGGCUCACUGCAGCCUUGAACUCCUGAGCUCAAGUCAUCCUCCCACCUCAGCCUUCCGAGUAGCUGGAACUGCAGGUGUGAGCCACCAUGCCUGGCUGAUUUGUCUUUUUAAAUUUUUUAUAGAGACCGAGUCUCAACUAUAUUGUCCAGGCUGGAAAAGAACUUCUUUCCCUCCAAGUGAUAACCUUUUCCAGACAAGUCAGCUUAAAAACUGACCCAAAGGCCCUGAAGUACACAGUUUUCUUGGAGAAAGAAAAAAAUAAGUGAAAAGGACUUGCUGACUUGCUAAUUCAUUUUGGGGCCUGUGGGUAACAUCAGAAUGGCAAAGCACUUGGGGCUUUUUUCUAAUUUGUAUUUUUUUAAUCUUCUGAGAAAUGACUUUUAUAUGCCAAGAUUCAUUCCAUGAUUAGUUUUUAUGACCAAGUUAUGAACGCUUUUGAAUAUGGGGACCUAGAAUAGAAAUGCUAACCUACCUGCAAGGAGAGCUCUGUGAUUGGCAUCCCCAUCAUGCUGUAACUGACACAAAAUAAACUUAGGGUAAUUGCCGCAUAGUGUAACUUUAAUGUGUGAGCAUACUGUAACAUCUGACAAGCUUCUUGAUCUAGAUCAGCAAUGUGUAACCCAUUCAUUGUUGUCACUCUCAACAAGGCCUUAUGGUCAAACAUCAUCACUCUCACUAAAGAGAUAGUUUACUGAAAUAUACUGAGAUUUUGAAACUGGAGUCAAGAGGUAGCACACUGUUUUAUGUUGAUCCAUUUAAUGGUCCUUGACAGCCAAUAAAAAGACACUGGAAGAA
RNAcentral lists this long non-coding RNA (1392 nucleotides) under Homo sapiens (human). Its description in RNAcentral is "HSALNT0307377". The record is from RNAcentral. Lineage: Eukaryota; Metazoa; Chordata; Mammalia; Primates; Hominidae.